This is a long non-coding RNA of Cydia splendana, 850 nucleotides long. RefSeq lists it as uncharacterized. NCBI's taxonomy places the organism in Eukaryota, Metazoa, Arthropoda, Insecta, Lepidoptera, Tortricidae. The transcript has 2 exons. The record is from RefSeq and is a predicted model, not a curated record.
UUUACUUUUCCCACAAAGCACAAACUAGUAAUACUUAAGGCUCCUUGAUUUGUCCUUAUCGUUGUAAAUAAUAAAGACGGCUUUUAUUUGCUCACUCCAAAAUUAAAAAGUACUUUGUUAUAUGUAGAUGGCGUCACCUUAGCAUGGUCUUAUUUCUGCAUGUUCCUUUUUUUACAUCAAAACGUACCUAUAACGCCAUCUGUUGAAACUCUGGUGGAAACACCAUACAUAAAUCACCAUACUGUGAUAUCGCCAAAGUGACGCUAUCCAAAACAAUUUAUGAGAAAUGAAAAAUAGUAGUCAAUUUGACAGUCAACAUUUUUGUUACGAAUCAAGUGCUGCCGUCUAUGGGGAGUAAUAUUUAGUGGGUAACAGGCACUGUCACGCACCCAAACACGCAUACACGUUUUAUACAAAUGUACAGCUCUACACGUCACUAAUUAAUGAACACAAUUGCAUUUAUACAAGGCUGGGCCCAAAGGCCGGGAGCUGACCACUCAUCUUUAUCCUAAUAUUGAACAAAUUAUGAAAAAUGAAAAUAUACUGCGUCUAUUUUACCUAUUAUUUUUGCCAUUGCUAGACAGAAAGCUAUAACACACUUGAAUUCGAUUUUUAAAAGGUUGAAAAAAUUUAACAUAAAGAAAAUAAUUGCUUUGCCCGUCACUGUACGCAAAUCAAAUCUCUUAGAUGUAACUAUAAAGCCAAUAAUUAGUGAAAGAAUUAUUUUGUAUCUGUUGGUGAAAAAUAAUAUUAGCAUAAAGAUCAGUGAUAUUCAGCUGAUACAAAGCCGCAGAGGUCGAUAUAGAAUUGUAGAUGUCGCUACGCUUUCGUAGUUUACCCACAAUAUAAA